RNAcentral lists this ribosomal RNA (522 nucleotides) under uncultured beta proteobacterium. RNAcentral describes it as "bacterial SSU rRNA". It matches the Rfam family "Bacterial small subunit ribosomal RNA", at positions 8 to 527 of the family's 1533-position model. Lineage: Bacteria; Pseudomonadati; Pseudomonadota; Betaproteobacteria. The record is from RNAcentral.
AGAGUUUGAUUAUGGCUCAGAUUGAACGCUGGCGGCAUGCCUUACACAUGCAAGUCGAACGGUAACAGGUCUUCGGAUGCUGACGAGUGGCGAACGGGUGAGUAAUACAUCGGAACGUGCCCAGUAAUGGGGGAUAGCUCGGCGAAAGCCGGAUUAAUACCGCAUACGCCCUGAGGGGGAAAGUGGGGGACCGCAAGGCCUCACGUUAUUGGAGCGGCCGAUGGCUGAUUAGCUAGUUGGUAGGGUAAAGGCCUACCAAGGCGACGAUCAGUAGCUGGUCUGAGAGGACGAUCAGCCACACUGGGACUGAGACACGGCCCAGACUCCUACGGGAGGCAGCAGUGGGGAAUUUUGGACAAUGGGGGAAACCCUGAUCCAGCAAUGCCGCGUGUGCGAAGAAGGCCUUCGGGUUGUAAAGCACUUUUGUCAGGGAAGAAAUCCUUUGGGCUAAUACCCUAGGGGGAUGACGGUACCUGAAGAAUAAGCACCGGCUAACUACGUGCCAGCAGCCGCGGUAAUUCA